Molecule: ribosomal RNA, 253 nt
Filed under: uncultured bacterium
Lineage: Bacteria
Description: partial 16S ribosomal RNA
Rfam family: Bacterial small subunit ribosomal RNA
Source: RNAcentral
UACGUAGGCAGCAAGCGUUGUUCGGAAUUACUGGGCGUAAAGAGUGUGUAGGCGGUGUUCUAAGUCUGUUGUGAAAUCUCCCGGCUUAACUGGGAGGGUGCGGCGGAGACUGGAAUGCUAGAGUGUGGGAGAGGUAAGCGGAAUUCCUGGUGUAGCGGUGAAAUGCGUAGAUAUCAGGAGGAACACCUGUGGCUAAGGCGGCUCUCUAGUACGGUACUGACGCUGAGACGCGAAAGCGUGGGGAGCGAACAGG